Molecule: transfer RNA, 90 nt
Filed under: Tahibacter sp.
Lineage: Bacteria; Pseudomonadati; Pseudomonadota; Gammaproteobacteria; Lysobacterales; Rhodanobacteraceae
Also listed under: 1 other name
Description: tRNA-Ser
Rfam family: tRNA
About the family: Transfer RNA (tRNA) molecules are approximately 80 nucleotides in length. Their secondary structure includes four short double-helical elements and three loops (D, anti-codon, and T loops).
Source: RNAcentral
GGAGAGGUGUCAGAGUGGUCGAAUGAGCCAGACUCGAAAUCUGGUGUAGGCGUAAGUCUACCGUGGGUUCGAAUCCCACCCUCUCCGCCA